This 74-nucleotide transfer RNA is filed under the name Planctomycetota bacterium. Its description in RNAcentral is "tRNA-Phe". It matches the Rfam family "tRNA". From Rfam's summary of the family: Transfer RNA (tRNA) molecules are approximately 80 nucleotides in length. Lineage: Bacteria; Pseudomonadati; Planctomycetota. The record is from RNAcentral.
GUGCCGGUGGCUCAACGGUAGAGCGCCGCGUUGAAGCCGCGGAGAUCGUGGUUCAAGUCCACGCCGGCACACCA